RNAcentral lists this long non-coding RNA (375 nucleotides) under Gossypium barbadense (sea-island cotton). Its description in RNAcentral is "long non-coding RNA (GBAR_LNC008573)". The record is from RNAcentral. Lineage: Eukaryota; Viridiplantae; Streptophyta; Magnoliopsida; Malvales; Malvaceae.
CGGUCCCACGUCAUUAAAAUUUGAAAGCAGAUACCUCACAUGCCUUAUUAAAUAUGUUGGGCAACGGUGGACGCAGAGGUGGGCCAGCCUAGUUAAUCCUUCUUUCACUGAUUAGAAGCUUGGACGGAGCUCUGCCAUAGACCAUUGGAAGCAGCACAUUUUGAAAACGCUUCGAGUUGGGUCUUUCCUGGUGCUUUCUGGUGAGAAUUCGAAGAGGUGAUCUGGUAUGCAGAGGAACCGUCGGUUUUGUGGUUCCUGGUUUUUUGACUUUUGCUGGUUUUAGCUUUCUAGUUUUCAUUUUGUUUUUUACCCAUUUUUGAUGGCCUUGAAAUUUGGGCAGACUAUUUCUUUUAUUUCAUUUCACUUUAAUUUAAU